Molecule: ribosomal RNA, 465 nt
Filed under: uncultured bacterium
Lineage: Bacteria
Description: partial 16S ribosomal RNA
Rfam family: Bacterial small subunit ribosomal RNA
Source: RNAcentral
CCUACGGGGGGCAGCAGUGGGGAAUAUUGCGCAAUGGGCGAAAGCCUGACGCAGCGACGCCGCGUGAGGGAUGAAGGUCUUCGGAUCGUAAACCUCUGUCAGCAGGGAAGAACGGUCACUGUGCUAAUCAGCAGUGCAUUGACGGUACCUGCAAAGGAAGCACCGGCUAACUCCGUGCCAGCAGCCGCGGUAAUACGGAGGGUGCGAGCGUUAAUCGGAAUUACUGGGCGGAACGCGCUCGUAGGCGGUAGGUCAAGUCAAGGGUGAAAUCCCCGCGCUCAACGUGGGAACUGCCUUUGAAACUGGCAAACUGGAGUGUGUGAGAGGAUAGUGGAAUUCCAGGUGUAGGAGUGAAAUCCGUAGAUAUCUGGAGGAACAUCAGUGGCGAAGGCGACUAUCUGGCACAUAACUGACGCUGAGGAGCGAAAGCGUGGGUAGCAAACAGGAUUAGAUACCCCUGUAGUC